AUUGACACAUAUAACCUAUUGGGUUGGCUCAAGUGGUAAAGGCCUUGGGCUUAGAGGUAUGCUCCCUUCAGGUCUAAGACUCAAAUCCCAUUGGGUGCAAAGAAUCUCUAGGAGCCAUCGGACUGAGGGAUUUUUUCUUUGAAUUACCAGAGGUGUAUUUGCGGAAAACUCCUUAUCAAGGGCUUGUG
This is a long non-coding RNA of Juglans microcarpa x Juglans regia, 188 nucleotides long. RefSeq lists it as uncharacterized. Lineage: Eukaryota; Viridiplantae; Streptophyta; Magnoliopsida; Fagales; Juglandaceae. The record is from RefSeq and is a predicted model, not a curated record. The transcript is spliced from 3 exons.